Haemorhous mexicanus (house finch) is the source of this 550-nucleotide long non-coding RNA. RefSeq lists it as uncharacterized. The record is from RefSeq and is a predicted model, not a curated record. NCBI's taxonomy places the organism in Eukaryota, Metazoa, Chordata, Aves, Passeriformes, Fringillidae. The transcript has 2 exons.
CCCCCAAAAAUCCCAAAAAACCCCAAAACCACCCCAAAAAACUCCACGGCCAGAAAAGGAUCCCAAAAACCUCGAAAAUUCCCCCAAAAAAACCCAAAAUCCGACAGCGAUCCUGAAUCCGCCUGAGGGAUCCGAGUGCUGCAGGUGAGACCCCAAAAAUCCCAAAAUUCCCCCAAAAAUCCCCCCAAAAACCCCAAAAUCCUGCAGAGACCCCAAAAGGAUCCGAGUGCUGCAGGUGAGACCCCAAAAAUCCCAAAAUCCCCCCAAAAAUCCCCCCAAAAAAUCCAAAAUCCUGCAGAGACCCCAAAAGGAUCCGAGUGCUGCAGGUGAGACCCCAAAAAUCCCAAAAUCCCCCCAAAAAUCCCCCCAAAAAAUCCAAAAUCCUGCAGAGACCCCAAAAGGAUCCGAGUGCUGCAGGUGAGACCCAAAAAAUCCCCAAAUCCCCCCAUAAAUCCCCCCAAAAUCCCAUAAAUGCACCACAGACACCCCAUAAAUCCCUCAGAUCACCCCAUAAGUACCCCAAAAAUCCCCCAAAAAUCCCUUAGAAAAA